This 369-nucleotide long non-coding RNA is filed under the name Nicotiana tabacum (common tobacco). Its description in RNAcentral is "long non-coding RNA (NTAB_LNC004882)". Lineage: Eukaryota; Viridiplantae; Streptophyta; Magnoliopsida; Solanales; Solanaceae. The record is from RNAcentral.
CCACCUGGAGAGAACGGGAAUACAAUUCAAGUUCAGCAAUCAGGCGCCCACCUGGAGAGCACGGGAAUACAAUUCAAGUUCAGCAGUCAGGCACCCACCUGGAGAGCACGGGAAUAUAGUUCAAGUUCAGCAAUCAGGCGCCCACCUGGAGAGCACGGGAAUACAGUUCAAGUUCAGCAAUCAGGCGCCCACCUGGAGAGCACGGGAAUACAGUUCAAGUUAUCAAUCAGGAGCCCACCUGGAGUGCACAGGAAUACAAUUCAAGUUCAGCAAUCAGGCGCCCACCUAGAGAGCAUGGGAAUACAGUUCAAGUUCAGCAAUCAGGAGCCCACCUGGAGAACAAAGCAAUUCAAGCGUCGGUAAUCAGGA